Molecule: long non-coding RNA, 691 nt
Filed under: Marmota monax (woodchuck)
Lineage: Eukaryota; Metazoa; Chordata; Mammalia; Rodentia; Sciuridae
Source: RNAcentral
GCUGGCCCUUACCUCCUGCUCCACACGCAGGUGCCAGGCAGAGAGUGGGGAGAGGACCAGGGUCUGUGUCCACUGGGCCUUUUACCCUCUCCCUCAGCACUUCUGCCCCCACCUCCGUGUCCAGAACUGGGUCACACCCAGGCCACCGAUAGCUGCAAGAGAGUCUGGGAAGCUGGACAGUUCCAACCAGGCCAGGUUUGAAAUUGAGGUCCUGCCAUUGGAAGCUGGGACUGGGUCUUUGGGGAGUGACCAGCAGUCCACGGGAGCCCCAGCCCCUGGGGCAGCUGGGCCCUCAGUGGGCAGUGGCCCCUCAGUGUGGGUAACAGGAUGAGCAUCCUCUGGGUCGCGUUACCCCUGACCUUCGGUGGCAGCCCUGCCCUGGAACUCUCGGGGCCUGGGUUUCCAGUUUGAUGAGACGAAGCCUCGUUCACCUGCUGCCUCCUCUGUUUGGUCCUAUUCUCUGUCACCUUCCUAUCAUGACUUGUAUUUAAGCCAACUCACUUUUUGGAUUUUAUGAAUAUAUAUUUAAAUGGGAAACGUUAUAACAUGCAAUAAUCCCUCAGCGUUGGCAUCGCUUGCUUGAAAUCAUCCAAAUAAACACCGAACAGCAGCGAGGCCAGGGGAGGUGCUUUGGGCCAUUGGCUCCUGCCCUGUCCGGGGCUCCCAGCCUGAGGCCUGCCUUGUCUCUUUU